UAAGACGAGAGGGGCGAGCGUUAUCCGGAAUAAUUGGGCGUAAAGGGUCCGUAGGUUGUAUUUUGUAUGCUUUUAGUAAAAGACAGAAACUUAAUUUCUGAAAUGCUUUAAGAACAGAUAUACUAGAGUUUAGCAGAGGAUAAUAGAAUUCCAUGUGGAGGGGUGGAAUCCUAAGAUAUAUGGAGGAAUGCCAGUAGCGAAAGCGAUUAUCUGGGCUAUUACUGACACUGAGGGACGAAAGCGUAGGUAGCAAACAGGAUUAGAUACCCUGGUAGUCUACGCUGUCAAUGCUGAGUGCUAAUAUUUAGAAUUUUCAAUUUUAGAUAUACAGUUAACACGUUAAGCACUCCGCCUGAGGAGUACGGUCGCAAGACUAAAACUCAAAUGAAUUGACGG
RNAcentral lists this ribosomal RNA (396 nucleotides) under uncultured bacterium. Its description in RNAcentral is "bacterial SSU rRNA". It matches the Rfam family "Bacterial small subunit ribosomal RNA", at positions 521 to 916 of the family's 1533-position model. The record is from RNAcentral.